AGGAAUUGGCUGAACUUGUGCACAAAGUUCAUUUGCUUUGUUUACUUGCUCGGGGAAGAUUAAUAGACCGUGCUUGUGAUGAUGUUUUAAUUCAGGCUUCUCUGCUUUCUCUACUUCCAGCGGACUUGCUCCACCUAUCAAAAGACACAAAACUCACUUCAAAAGCUCUACAUCCUUUAAUCUCAUGGUUCCAUGACAAUUUUCAUGUUAAAAACUAUACAAAUGGAGAAAAGUCACCACACUUUGCUUUGGCAUCUGCUUUAGAAUUACGUGAAGGUAAUUCUGAAGAGGUAGAUCUCUUUUAAUAGAAGCUUUGUUGUUUUUGUAUUUACUGCAUGAUAUAUACUUUGCUGGAGUCCUAGUUUUUCUUUUAGUAAGGUUUUGAUAGGUUUGAUAGAUGAGGAAGUUAGAAUAACUUAGUUGGUAGUUGGGGGCCCACAGAUAAAAUAGUUAUAUACUUAGAGCUGUUGGGCUGGGAUGAUUAGAGAAAUAAGUCAUGUUGCUCAUAAAUAACAAAAGGGAUGAGAGUUAGAGGUAUCUUGUCAUUUGAAAUACUUGGUGCAUUUGAGCAUAGGAGAUGCAGACCCCCGAAUUUUUGUAAUCUAUACUGUAUUGAAAGGAAUUCUUCCCUAAUUCUUCUAAAUUAUAAUUGAGA
Molecule: long non-coding RNA, 655 nt
Organism: Vicia villosa (hairy vetch)
Lineage: Eukaryota; Viridiplantae; Streptophyta; Magnoliopsida; Fabales; Fabaceae
Exons: 3
Source: RefSeq, a predicted model, not a curated record